Molecule: ribosomal RNA, 433 nt
Filed under: uncultured bacterium
Lineage: Bacteria
Description: partial 16S ribosomal RNA
Rfam family: Bacterial small subunit ribosomal RNA
Source: RNAcentral
AACGAACGCUGGCGGCAUGCCUAACACAUGCAAGUCGAACGAGACCUUCGGGUCUAGUGGCGCACGGGUGCGUAACGCGUGGGAACCUGCCCUUAGGUUCGGAAUAACUUCCCGAAAGGGGUGCUAAUACCGGAUAAUGUCUUCGGACCAAAGUGUUAUCGCCUUUGGAUGGGCCCGCGUUGGAUUAGCUAGUUGGUAGGGUAAAAGCCUACCAAGGCUACGAUCCAUAGCUGGCCUGAGAGGAUGAUCAGCCACACUGGGACUGAGACACGGCACAGACUCCGGCGGGAGGAAGCAGUGGGGAAUAUUGGACGAUCGGGGAAAGCCUGAUCCAGCAAUGCCGGGUGAGUGAUGAAGGCCUGAAGGUUGUAAAGCUCUUGUACCCGAGAAGAUAAUGACAGUACCGAGAGAAUAAGCUCCGGCUAACUCCGUG